This 300-nucleotide ribosomal RNA is filed under the name uncultured Gammaproteobacteria bacterium. RNAcentral's name for it is "bacterial SSU rRNA". It matches the Rfam family "Bacterial small subunit ribosomal RNA", at positions 114 to 409 of the family's 1533-position model. Lineage: Bacteria; Pseudomonadati; Pseudomonadota; Gammaproteobacteria. The record is from RNAcentral.
CGCGUAGGAAUCUACCUAUUAGUGGGGAGUAACAUGGAGAAAUUACAUGCUAAUAACCGCAUAUGCCCUACCGGGUAAAGGAAGGGCCGUCUUCUUGAAAGACUCUUGCAGUAGAUGAGCCUGCGUCGGAUUAGCUUGUUGGUGGGGUAAUGGCCUACCAAGGCGACGAUCCGUAGCUGGUCUGAGAGGAUGAUCAGCCACACUGGGACUGAGACACGGCCCAGACUCCUACGGGAGGCAGCAGUGGGGAAGUAUUGGACAAUGGGCGCAAGCCUGAUCCAGCAAUACCUCGUGUGUGAA